Long non-coding RNA from Zootermopsis nevadensis, 1334 nucleotides. RefSeq lists it as uncharacterized. The record is from RefSeq and is a predicted model, not a curated record. NCBI's taxonomy places the organism in Eukaryota, Metazoa, Arthropoda, Insecta, Blattodea, Termopsidae.
GCACUAGAGGUAUGUCCGCUAAGCUUGGAAGUUACACAGCUAUGUUCCAUCUGCAUUUGUCUUCGACUUCAGCAAACUGUGUUUAUUCGGUGUUAUUGUUAGUGCAGCAUACAAUGUUUGAAAUGGAAUCCAAGCCCAAAAGGCUCAUUUAGGAAACAAGAACAUGAAGCUAGGAUCAGUGGAAAGCCAUUUUUAACGGGAAAGAAGAAACAGAUGUCUGGGAGAGAUCCCAUGUUUUCACAGAUUAGUUUAAGAUUAUGAAACUUAUAACAAACUGACGUUUAAGGGUCCCUGAUUGCCCUGAUGUUGGAUGCAGCAAGGACCUCUGAAACGUCGGUAAACUUAUACCAGACUACAGGGCACAUCAACCCAGAAGACAUCAAUUAUUAACAUAAACCCUUCAUUCCGUAUUAAGCAGAUGUCAUUUUAAUAACCACUGAAAUAUACUUUAACAGACAAUUUCAUCAUUCCAACCAAGUAUUCGGUGACUAUAGGACAACGCACUUAUUCAAGAGACAGAACCGUCCAAAUCGCCCUCCUGAAUAUCUCUUACCGCGUUCCUGGUUAUUUGUUUCAAAGCACAGACAGUAUGUUCAGAAACUCCUAGUUUUCUGUGACCGGAACGGGAUAUAAAAGUAUAUUUAAUUCACAGUUAAAAAAGUAAGCAACUGUUUGUGUUUAUUCAAAUCGGAAAUAUAUGAAUAUGAAUUAAGAUAAACAAACUAUUAACUAUUUUUAUAGUGUUAAUAGUUUGUUUGUUUGCUUAUUAUAUAUUCUAAUACACUACACGAUAUGCAAAGUUGUAACGGAAAUAGAUGGCGCAAAUGUUCUCUUGUAAUUUAAUUUUUUUCUGUCAUGUGAGGCCAGCCAUCGUUGAUCCUUGAGGUCGUUUGGUGUGUUUUUUCUGGUGUAGUUCUAAUUUAAAAAUUUAAGAUGGGCUAUGAUGGAAGUUCAAUCUCUCAGCGAGCUGAGCUUUUAAGAAAAAGAAUGUCAGUUUCCGUCUACAUGAUGCUAUGAAACUAUCUGAGGAAAAGUUUAGUAUCAUCACAAAGGAAGAAUGGAGCUCGAGGUGCAACAAAUCCCGUCAAUGCUAAUAGAAUUACUUCCGGUUGGAACCUGUUAUUGACGACAUUUCGGAAUAAAUUAUAGUUAAUUUUACAAAACCUCAGUGAUACCAGCAAUUGUAGCAGUAGUGAGGAAGAGGAGAGGAAGGAAGACGUCGCAAAAGAAGAUGAUGGGAAAUUAAGUGAAAUGUUCAUCAGCCGCUGUAUGAAAUUUUCUUUACCCACUAAAGGUACAAUUUGGCUGCACGCGACAGAGACAAGCGACCGAGG